This 256-nucleotide ribosomal RNA is filed under the name uncultured bacterium. RNAcentral describes it as "partial 16S ribosomal RNA". It matches the Rfam family "Bacterial small subunit ribosomal RNA", at positions 524 to 776 of the family's 1533-position model. The record is from RNAcentral.
UACGUAGGGUGCAAGCGUUGUCCGGAAUUAUUGGGCGUAAAGAGCUCGUAGGCGGUUUGUCGCGUCUGCUGUGAAAACGCGGGGCUCAACUCCGCGCCUGCAGUGGGUACGGGCAGACUAGAGUGCAGUAGGGGGAGACUGGAAUUCCUGGUGUAGCGGUGGAAUGCGCAGAUAUCAGGAGGAACACCGGUGGCGAAGGCGGGUCUCUGGGCAGUAACUGACGCUGGAGGAGCGAAAGCGUGGGGAGCGAAACAGG